RNAcentral lists this RNase P RNA (384 nucleotides) under Acinetobacter sp. RNAcentral describes it as "partial RNase P RNA component class A". It matches the Rfam family "Bacterial RNase P class A". From Rfam's summary of the family: Ribonuclease P (RNase P) is a ubiquitous endoribonuclease, found in archaea, bacteria and eukarya as well as chloroplasts and mitochondria. Its best characterised activity is the generation of mature 5'-ends of tRNAs by cleaving the 5'-leader elements of precursor-tRNAs. Lineage: Bacteria; Pseudomonadati; Pseudomonadota; Gammaproteobacteria; Moraxellales; Moraxellaceae. The record is from RNAcentral.
GGUCGCUGCUGUGGAGGUCUCCGUGACUGAAGCAGGGGAGGAAAGUCCGGGCUUCAUAGGGCAAGGUGCCAGGUAACGCCUGGGCGGUGCAAACCGACGGCAAGUGCAGCAGAGAGUAGACCGCCUACAACCCUCUCCCUAACCCUCUCCCAGAGGGCGAGGGAACAAAGAGAUGUAGGUAAGGGUGAAAGGGUGCGGUAAGAGCGCACCGCGUGUCUGGUAACAGUUCACGGCAAGGUAAACCCCACCAGAAGCAAGACCAAAUAGGAAUCCUGAGGCGCGGCCCGUGCUGGAUUCGGGUAGGUCGCUUGAGCGUACGAGUGAUUGUACGCCUAGAGGAAUGAUCGUCCUCGACAGAACCCGGCUUACAGGCCCGCUUCAAAG